GGCAUGUCAUCUUCUCUUUGGGGAAUGUAAGGGUUGCGAUAACUAUAAUAGCUUUGUUUCUCUGCGAUUUCUUUUAACUCCAUUUCCGAAACUGCGUUAUAUAUUUUACUUUUCAUAACAGCUUGGUUAUAUUCUGAAAAUUUUUUUAACCGUUGCCGCAAUGCUCUUAAAAAUUUAUCUAUCUCAUCUUCUUUUUUGGUUUCGUUGUGAUUUAAUAAAUAUUUCAUUAAAGUUUGUGACGCUGAAUUUUUUUCAAUAUUAAGAUUUUUUUAUGAAAUUUUGGAUGCAACUGAAGAUGCAGAAGACUCAGGACGCGGCGAAAGUGGAGUAGUUUCCGCUUGUACUUCAUAACUGGAUCUACAUUUACUAAUUUAUCAUCGAGCUUCCGUUUAGGAGAAUCAACUAUUCGUUUGAUAGUAAUAGAUGUGUGCAAUGCAAUAAUAAAUAAAUUAAUGCCAA
This is a long non-coding RNA of Pectinophora gossypiella (pink bollworm), 459 nucleotides long. RefSeq lists it as uncharacterized. The record is from RefSeq and is a predicted model, not a curated record. The transcript is spliced from 2 exons. NCBI's taxonomy places the organism in Eukaryota, Metazoa, Arthropoda, Insecta, Lepidoptera, Gelechiidae.